RNAcentral lists this non-coding RNA (29 nucleotides) under Drosophila erecta. The record is from RNAcentral. Lineage: Eukaryota; Metazoa; Arthropoda; Insecta; Diptera; Drosophilidae. RNAcentral also lists the same sequence under 7 other names.
GCUUGGACUACAUAUGGUUGAGGGUUGUA